RNAcentral lists this unclassified non-coding RNA (1117 nucleotides) under Hevea brasiliensis (rubber tree). Lineage: Eukaryota; Viridiplantae; Streptophyta; Magnoliopsida; Malpighiales; Euphorbiaceae. The record is from RNAcentral.
AAAUCAAAUUAGGUAGUUGCAUGGAAUUUCCGUGUUACUAUAGGUGAGAAUGAGACGCAGAACCGGAAGCCGAACCAUAGCAUUCAAGUUCCAACUCUUCAUUUCGCUCUGUUGCAGUGUUAAGCCACGAGGGAGAGAGAGUGAGAGAGUGAGAGUUAGAGCAAAGCAAAACGCACAAUGUCUUUUGCAGCAUCUAGGGUUUUCAAGGGCUGCAGAGCCCUCUUAGCCCCAACGAAAUCCGCUGCCUCUACAACAACCACCGCUGCGUCAAAAUCCAAAGCCACAAAGGCAGCAGCACGGAAACAGAAGCCAAAUCCGACAAAGCCUCUUAAGCCUUCUGGCAUACUGAAAGUCACCCCCGUAUCCCCUGCUCUUCGCGACUUUCUCGGUGUUCCUGAAUCUUCUCGCAGUGAUGCGGUGAAGAAUAUCUGGUCUUAUAUCAAGCAGCACAACUUGCAGAACCCUGCUGAUAAGAAGGAGAUCUUUUGUGAUGAGAAGCUGAAGAUCAUUUUUGAUGGAAAAGAGAAAGUUGGAUUCCUGGAGAUUGGAAAGUUGCUAUCACGCCAUUUUGUGAAGACUGGUUAAAUGUCAUUGUUGGGUGUUUAAUUUAUGGCUUGACUCUUCGUGGAGCCAGCUCUAGACUACUAAUCUUGAAUCUAUGUGCUGUAAUGUUGAUGGUUUCCUGUUGUUUUAGAGCCUGGCCAGGCUUUUAUGGAUUGUAUUGCAACUGGAACAAGUCGUCAGCUGGACAUAUUGUAAAAAUGGCUAGGAAAAAAGGACUUGCAUUUUAACCUGUUUUCUGAUAUCAAUUCAUUAUGAUCUUUCAUUGGCAGAUAAUCUGAUUGAUGAUCUGUGAUUAGGUAAAUGCCUACUGAGCCUUCCCCCCUCAAAUGGUAGACAUUUUUAUUGAGCCCAGGGAAGUAAUGCAUGGAAGAUUUUGUAUAUAGUAGCCAUGCUUUAGAGUGUGGAUUUUGGCUCAUGGAAAGUUGUUUACCCUGUAUCGAGCCCUUAACGUCUAUUUUUCUCUAGUUAGUGGGGACUGUGGCAUGACAUGGAGUGUGCUAACAGUUUGUAAUUGUGUUCCUUUCCUCUAUAUGAGAGCAAUAUUUGUCAAGCA